This 69-nucleotide transfer RNA is filed under the name Marmota monax (woodchuck). It matches the Rfam family "tRNA". Rfam says of the family: Transfer RNA (tRNA) molecules are approximately 80 nucleotides in length. Their secondary structure includes four short double-helical elements and three loops (D, anti-codon, and T loops). Lineage: Eukaryota; Metazoa; Chordata; Mammalia; Rodentia; Sciuridae. The record is from Rfam by way of RNAcentral.
GGAGUUGUAGCUCAGUGAUAGAGCGCUUGCCUCACAUGUGUGAGGCCCUGAGUUCAAUCCUCAGCACCA